This 492-nucleotide ribosomal RNA is filed under the name uncultured bacterium. RNAcentral describes it as "partial 16S ribosomal RNA". It matches the Rfam family "Bacterial small subunit ribosomal RNA", at positions 29 to 507 of the family's 1533-position model. The record is from RNAcentral.
AGUGAACGCUGGCGGUAGGCCUAACACAUGCAAGUCGAACGGCAGCACAGUAAGAGCUUGCUCUUACGGGUGGCGAGUGGCGGACGGGUGAGGAAUACAUCGGAAUCUACUUUUUCGUGGGGGAUAACGUAGGGAAACUUACGCUAAUACCGUAUACGACCUACGGGUGAAAGCAGGGGAUCUUCGGACCUUGCGCGAUUGAAUGAGCCGAUGUUGGAUUCGCUCGUUGGCGGGGUAAAGGCGCACCACGGCGACGAUCCGUAGCUGGUCUGAGAGGAUGAUCAGCCACAUUGGAACUGAGACACGGCCCAGACACCUACGGGAGGCAGCAGUGGGGAAUAUUGCACGAGGGGGGCAAGCCUGAUCCAGCCAUACCGCGUGGGUGAAGAAGGCCUUCGGGUUGUAAAGCCAUUUUGUUGGGAAAGAAAAGCAGCAGGUUUAUACCCCGCGGUUCUGACGGUACCCAAAGAAUAAGCACCGGCUAACUUCGUG